This 261-nucleotide long non-coding RNA is filed under the name Pan troglodytes (chimpanzee). Its description in RNAcentral is "long non-coding RNA NONPTRT006784". The record is from RNAcentral. Lineage: Eukaryota; Metazoa; Chordata; Mammalia; Primates; Hominidae.
GGGUAGGCGUCGACCAGCGCCCCCAGCCUGGAUUUCCCAGUACCAGACCAUGCUUGAGCUCCAGCCACUCACAGCGACAGCUUGUGAAGCAGAUGAGCAGGAGGUGGAAGGUGAGGAAAGUUUCAAGGGCUGCACUGGGACAGGUCAAGCUGAGGCCUCCUCUGCUCAGGGCUUUCCUUUCGGGGCUUAUAUCCCCGCCUGGAAAGGAAAGGGAGUCCCACGGGGAGGGGGAGCCAGCAGGGGGUGCGCCCCUCUUCCUCC